Long non-coding RNA from Eutrema salsugineum, 1095 nucleotides. RefSeq lists it as uncharacterized. Lineage: Eukaryota; Viridiplantae; Streptophyta; Magnoliopsida; Brassicales; Brassicaceae. The transcript has 4 exons. The record is from RefSeq and is a predicted model, not a curated record.
UUGUCUUUCACCACACCGCUAGAACUUUGAGAACGGAAACGUAAAGUAUAAUCAAUAAAAUUCCUGCAGCCGUUUCAAAUCAGCCCCACACUCUAUUCAUCUGAAUAACGGAUUACCUUCCACCUUCCUCUUCUAAAUGCCCACUAACUCCAAAUCGAAACUGCAUAGCAAAUUUAUGGCUGCUCAAAUCGCACCACGCAUUCAUCCUCCUUAUAUAAAAGGGAUUACCAGCGUCAAAUAAAUCUCCCACCUUUCGUCUCUAAUACAGCAAUGGAGAAGAGAGAUAAAGAAGUUUCAAAUAUUUGCUGACAACCAAACUCAAGCGAAUUUUGCCAUUUCAAAUCUUCACCCUCUGUAUAUAGACUCACAUUUCCGAAGGCCAAAAAGAAUGAGCGAGCUCUCGGGAGAGGGGUUUUAAAAAGUCAAAAAGGAUAAGAAUUACCAUAGUAAAGAGCAAACCGUUGUGAAUAACUGCCCGGUGUGUGGUGAGGCUCUUCAACUCUCAGACAAACUCAAUGCGAUGAUUUAUUCAUAUGACUCUGUUUCGACCAAGGAACGGAUAAUCAAGUGAUGACUGGAGAGUUUUUGACUGAUAGACAACCUUCGUAUGGAUGGAUGUUCAAACUAAGUGAAUGGACGUACUUAUCAACUUAUGACGUUGGUUUGAAUACUGGUUCAAGUGCUUCACAUAUUGUGGUGUGAUUGACUGAAGACUAAUAGGCUGGUCGAAGAGUUGAUCGACUCAACGAUUGUUUUGUCCAUGAGAGCUAUUAACCAGUCAAAACUCGGGAUUUGACAUAUGGAUCAAGUUUCGUUGUGCCCAAAAGCUUCACGUCCUCUCUAUCACGCCAUUCUAACAAAUCAUACAGCGGCAAAGGAGAUUCUACAUAGACUUUCUGAGAAGCAGGGGAAGAAGAUAAGCUCAGUGGAAUCCGCUUUAAAAUACACAGCCUUCUCAACUUCUUUAAGCCAUGGAAAGUUACUACCUCUUUUGCUAUAUUGUGUUUCCUUACUACCGCCCAAAAGCAUUCUAUCUUAGCUUCUUAUAACCAUGUAAUUAGUAUCAUUCAUGUUGUAUCUAAUGUCCUUUUUCAU